This is a non-coding RNA of Nicotiana tabacum (common tobacco), 692 nucleotides long. The record is from RefSeq and is a predicted model, not a curated record. Lineage: Eukaryota; Viridiplantae; Streptophyta; Magnoliopsida; Solanales; Solanaceae.
AUGCUAAGGGGACCAAAUAUUAGAAUCAGCCGCUGAACCUAAAGUUAGACCCCUAAAAUCAACCGCAAAUCUCUUUCUUUUUUCAGAAAAGACGGCAGCUUCAUGCCCAAAUUCCACUUUUUCUGAUUCUUAAACCAUCUUUCUUUUCCAUUUAAAGACACACACAUAUACAGAAGGAGAUUAAACAAAGGAAAUGGAAGUUUAGCCAUCAAAUAGCUAAAAAUAGCUUUAAACCCAGCUGACUACAAAAUGAAAAACAGCCUUCCCCCUUUGAUUUUUGGAUUCACCUCCUUUCUCUCAAAAUUCAACUCACACGUAUAAAUACUACACUACUCAUAACAAAAGGGGAGGGCACAUCGAGUUCUGGUGAAAGUUCGAGGUCGACAGUGCAUGCCUUUCCGUCGAGGUCUCUAUCGCGAUUCCAUCUUUGGAACAAAUCAUCAGUUAAAAAAUCAAAAGUGAAAGUUUAAUAUUAAGGUAUUGGCCCCAGUGGAGUUCAGAGAGGUGUUAACUAUAACACAAAGAAGUGCUGCAUAUCUGUUUGCAGGCUGUUGGAGUUGCCUUCCUCUCUUUUGUUAUUACUGCUUAGUUUAUUCAAAAAAAUAUUGUGAAUUUAUUCUAGACCUUUGUAUUUGAUACUCCUAGAAACUCAUGUACUCUGUUACAGCAGAUCCGAGAUGCUUGUGGUGGUU